UACUAGGACUGAUAAGGAUAAGGGCAAGGUGACGUUUGUGGAGCCAAAGAAGCAGUGGGUUCCAGUUUCAGCAGUGCCUUCUGUGCUUCCCACUACUACUACCGCAGUUGUGACUGAGUCAGAAUCUGCAUCGGCAGUUCCUACCUCUACUCGUAUCACAGUUGAUCCAGAGGUACCUCCGUAUAUUCAUUCAGUUGCUGAGCCUACUCCAAAUGCUCCUAUCGAGGUACCCACUUCUCCUAUUAUUACUUCCAUAGCUCCUAUUCCCACAGCUACUACUGAUGUACCCCCUGAGCCAACACAUAUGAGUUCUCCACCAUUAAAGACACACACAGAUAGUACUCAGUCAGCGCAGGGAUCAGGUACCGGGACAGUUCCUCAAACCACUCUUGCACAGGGGUUGUUGGCUGAGAUCAGCUCAGAGCGAC
Molecule: long non-coding RNA, 428 nt
Filed under: Olea europaea (common olive)
Lineage: Eukaryota; Viridiplantae; Streptophyta; Magnoliopsida; Lamiales; Oleaceae
Description: long non-coding RNA (OEUR_LNC014503)
Source: RNAcentral